This 307-nucleotide long non-coding RNA is filed under the name Ananas comosus (pineapple). RNAcentral describes it as "long non-coding RNA (ACOM_LNC023986)". The record is from RNAcentral. Lineage: Eukaryota; Viridiplantae; Streptophyta; Magnoliopsida; Poales; Bromeliaceae.
GCCGUAGGGGUUGACGGUGGACCCCUAUCGCCGUUUUGGCAUCAGAUUGUGCCGAGGGCACGUGACCUGUUGGUUGUUAGACCAGUUGGACCCUGUUACUUGACUUUGGCUUGUGAGAGCCUAAUUGAGCUCGACAGAGAUACGCUGCAUACUCGGUUGGGUAGCUCCCACGAGUGCCACUCCGGAGACGGGCGUUGUGCUUUCGCGUUGGUGUCGUUCGUGCAGGUUGGACUUGCUCUCCACGGAUUGCUUAGUGUGGAGGUAGCUGUAUAGUCGCAACCGGGCGGGACGGGUGUGUUCACAGUCC